UAAUUUGGGAUAUAUUGAGAGUUGUCACACAAUUCAAGACUCUCCACAAAACAAGUGUGUUCAAGAAGGAGGGCACUAUGGUCAUUUUAUUCCUUGGCUUAUGAAAAGGGGUGCAAACAUUGAAAAAGGGGGUGACAUCUAGAAGCAGAAGUGUGGUCACGGUUUGGGCUGGUCUUCACACGUUGCAGCACACACCCACGACAGUAGAAGGAGUGCAUCAUGCAACAACCCACAUAACACGAUCCAGGAGGGUCUUCAGCGGUGCACAUGAUGGAUAAAAAGCAGUAGCAUCACGUGUUGAAGAAGGAAUGAGUUGUCACGGGCCUUCACUACACUCAGUCCUGCGUUUUCCUUGAGAAAGCUGCAGCGGCCCACCAACACGCAGCAACUUCAACGUCC
This 399-nucleotide long non-coding RNA is filed under the name Vigna radiata. Its description in RNAcentral is "long non-coding RNA (VRAD_LNC000900)". The record is from RNAcentral. Lineage: Eukaryota; Viridiplantae; Streptophyta; Magnoliopsida; Fabales; Fabaceae.